RNAcentral lists this non-coding RNA (23 nucleotides) under Arabidopsis thaliana (thale cress). The record is from RNAcentral. Lineage: Eukaryota; Viridiplantae; Streptophyta; Magnoliopsida; Brassicales; Brassicaceae.
AACCAAACGAGUAUCAGCUGCCA